This is a long non-coding RNA of Herpailurus yagouaroundi (jaguarundi), 219 nucleotides long. RefSeq lists it as uncharacterized. The record is from RefSeq and is a predicted model, not a curated record. Lineage: Eukaryota; Metazoa; Chordata; Mammalia; Carnivora; Felidae. The transcript has 3 exons.
UUCACAGUGCAAAAGCUUUUAUCUUGAUGAAGUCCCAAUAGUUUAUUUGUGCUUUUGUUUCCCUUGCCUCCAGAGACAUAUCAAGUAAGACAUUGCUGCCACUGAAGUCAAAGAGGUAGUUGCCUGCUUUCUCCUCGAGGAUUUUGAUGGCUUCCUGUCUUACAUUUAGGUCUUUCACCAUUUGAGCUUAUAUUUGUGUAUUAUUUUCAUCCUUUCUUG